Vidua chalybeata is the source of this 237-nucleotide long non-coding RNA. RefSeq lists it as uncharacterized. NCBI's taxonomy places the organism in Eukaryota, Metazoa, Chordata, Aves, Passeriformes, Viduidae. The transcript has 3 exons. The record is from RefSeq and is a predicted model, not a curated record.
UGUACUCCACUUCAUUGGUGCCCUGUGCUCACACCCAACUUCUCUUCCCCUGUGAAAUCAAGUCCCAGUGUGACUGCAAGGAUAAGAGCAGGCCUGUUGCAUGGAGAGAGCACCUGGAGAGAAUUCAUCAUUUCAACUUGGGGAAACUGGAAUUGACAAAUCAACAAAAUCCCUGAAAUUUAAGGUUUGUUAAACCUGUUUUAAUCCUUUUUGGUUCCUGAGGAGGAGUGAAACAGC